AAACGAAGGAGAACAGAAGAUGUGAACACACAGAAGACGCUCAGACUGGAUGCGUGAGAUCCUGCAAUAUUGGCGAUCAGCACUGGAAGAAGAUUUUUGGGGGGAGAGCAGGCACCCAACAGAGACAAAUCCACCACGGCAUGAUUAUCAACUUCAUUAUUGACAAAGAAAGGAGAACAUGUCACCAUCAUGAGCCCUUUAUUUAGUUCACGGAAGAACAUCAAGGGAAAGACCCUCAGACGUGUCAUAACAGGAUAAAUGUGGCUACAGGACGCAUCACCCCACCCCAUCCCAGAUUGACCAAGGAUCCAGAUGAGUACUGGCAAUUUGGUGGAGGAUUGCUCUUUAUCUACUACAUUGUACUGCCACUUCCGAGGCUCUUAAGAAGACAACACAGAUCAACUGGCAAGGAAC
This is a non-coding RNA of Pimephales promelas (fathead minnow), 414 nucleotides long. Lineage: Eukaryota; Metazoa; Chordata; Actinopteri; Cypriniformes; Leuciscidae. The record is from RefSeq and is a predicted model, not a curated record.